GACGAACGCUGGCGGCGUGCUCAACACAUGCAAGUCGAACGGUAAGGCCCUUCGGGGUACACGAGUGGCGAACGGGUGAGUAACACGUGGGUGAUCUGCCCUGCACUUCGGGAUAAGCCUGGGAAACUGGGUCUAAUACCGGAUAGGACCCUGGGAUGCAUGUCCUGGGGUGGAAAGCUUUUGCGGUGUGGGAUGGGCCCGCGGCCUAUCAGCUUGCUGGUGGGGUGAUGGCCUACCAAGGCGACGACGGGUAGCCGGCCUGAGAGGGUGACCGGCCACACUGGGACUGAGAUACGGCCCAGACUCCGACGGGAGGCAGCAGUGGGGAAUAUUGCACAAUGGGCGCAAGCCUGAUGCAGCGACGCCGCGUGAGGGAUGACGGCCUUCGGGUUGUAAACCUCUUUCAGCACCGACGAAGCGCAAGUGACGGUAGGUGCAGAAGAAGGACCGGCCAACUACGUGCCAGCAGCCGCGGUAA
Molecule: ribosomal RNA, 478 nt
Filed under: uncultured bacterium
Lineage: Bacteria
Description: partial 16S ribosomal RNA
Rfam family: Bacterial small subunit ribosomal RNA
Source: RNAcentral